RNAcentral lists this small nucleolar RNA (109 nucleotides) under Microcebus murinus (gray mouse lemur). RNAcentral's name for it is "Small nucleolar RNA SNORA31 (ENSMICG00000026090.3)". It matches the Rfam family "Small nucleolar RNA SNORA31", at positions 22 to 130 of the family's 130-position model. Rfam says of the family: ACA31 (SNORA31) belongs to the H/ACA class of snoRNAs which are thought to guide the sites of modification of uridines to pseudouridines. ACA31 is predicted to guide the pseudouridylation of U3713 in 28S rRNA and U218 in 18S rRNA. Lineage: Eukaryota; Metazoa; Chordata; Mammalia; Primates; Cheirogaleidae. The record is from Rfam by way of RNAcentral.
AAGUAUCUCAUUAAUAUCCCUAUCAGUUGCACUAGGAUGCGAAAGAAAAAAAUCCCUGUGCUUUCUGUCUGUAUUUAUGGCAGCCCAGAUUGAAUGGUGGAAUACAUCU